AUCUGUUGAUGUUAUGUGAUCUAAAGGGUUGUAGAAGUGGUUAUGAAAUUGCAAUGGUGUAGCCGAUGUAGUUAUAUGAGUGAAUGCUUUGUGUAUUUUGGUCGUUUCUGCACGUUCUACAAAGAAUUUUCUAAAAUUGUCUACCUGUCCAUAAUGUAGGUUUUUUAUGUCGACAUUAUGUCAAAAAUGGAAAGUGACGCGGACCUUGAUCAAGCAUGACAUCCUUUUAACUUUACGGUAUAUAUUACAUUGGAUUUAGGAACUUUCGGGUAUCGCUGCCGUUUUUUGUUCCGCCACAAGCCAUCUGUGGAACCUGGUUCUUCAACUCAUUAACUGGAGAAUAUGUGAAUACUGUAUAUAAAUCAUUGGAUAAAUAAAUGUGCAGAAUGGAGCUACAUGCAACUGAGGAACACUACUCCUGGGAGCUUGUAAUUCAGAGAAAUGUUUGAGUUCCUCAAUGGAAGACCAUGUGUGUAAAUUAUUUUAAGUGAAAUAUGUUUUUGUUAAAUUGCAAAGCUAUAUACGAUUUGUUAAAACUUCUGUCAGUGAAUCACAAUAUUCCUUUUAAUAA
This is a long non-coding RNA of Schistocerca gregaria, 571 nucleotides long. RefSeq lists it as uncharacterized. The record is from RefSeq and is a predicted model, not a curated record. Lineage: Eukaryota; Metazoa; Arthropoda; Insecta; Orthoptera; Acrididae. The transcript is spliced from 4 exons.